UUGUGGAGGAGGACGCCGAAGGUGGGGCUAAUGACUGGGGUGAAGUCGUAACAAGGUAGCCGUACCGGAAGGUGCGGCUGGAUCACCUCCUAACAGGGAGACAACAAAAUGUUUAAUAUUAUUAUUUUGUCACCUUAGGUCGAUCGGUACCUCACAUUUUUAAUUUAUUAAAAAUUUCAUUUCCUAAGUUUUUCUAGGUCACACCCAUUAUUUUCCUGGGCCAUUAGCUCAGGUGGUUAGAGCGCACCCCUGAUAAGGGUGAGGUCCCUGGUUCAAGUCCAGGAUGGCCCAUAUCUCUAUGUUGGGGGUAUAGCUCAGUUGGUAGAGCGCCUGCUUUGCAAGCAGGAUGUCAGCGGUUCGAGUCCGCUUACCUCCACUGAUUACCACCUCUUCCAUAAAAUGUAGAAGGGAAAUGUUUUGAGUUGUGAUCACUUUCUGAACGAAUCUAGCUUCCUAAUGUAAUCAUUAAGACGCUGGACUCAUUGAAUUAAUUUCAUUGUUUUCAGAGAACCUUGACAACUGCUUAGAUUAUUUUUAAAGACAAUAAGCAUCUUUAAUGAUGCAGAUUUAUUAUUUGUGCGAAUGCAUUAAUAACAAUUCUAUUAAGCUGAUGCUUCAAUUUUGAAGUUAUUGGUCAAGCUACAA
This 645-nucleotide unclassified non-coding RNA is filed under the name uncultured Prochlorococcus sp. RNAcentral describes it as "partial 16S-23S ribosomal RNA intergenic spacer; may also contain 16S ribosomal RNA and 23S ribosomal RNA". The stretch from base 304 to 376 matches the Rfam family "tRNA". The record is from RNAcentral. Lineage: Bacteria; Bacillati; Cyanobacteriota; Cyanophyceae; Synechococcales; Prochlorococcaceae.